Molecule: ribosomal RNA, 492 nt
Filed under: uncultured bacterium
Lineage: Bacteria
Description: partial 16S ribosomal RNA
Rfam family: Bacterial small subunit ribosomal RNA
Source: RNAcentral
AGUGAACGCUGGCGGUAGGCCUAACACAUGCAAGUCGAACGGCAGCACAGUAAGAGCUUGCUCUUACGGGUGGCGAGUGGCGGACGGGUGAGGAAUACAUCGGAAUCUACUUUUUCGUGGGGGAUAACGUAGGGAAGCUUACGCUAAUACCGCAUACGACCUACGGGUGAAAGCAGGGGAUCUUCGGACCUUGCGCGAUUGAAUGAGCCGAUGUCGGAUUAGCUAGUUGGCGGGGUAAAGACCCACCAAGGCGACGAUCCGUAGCUGGUCUGAGAGGAUGAUCGGCCACACGGGAGCUGAGACACGGUCCAUACUCCUACGGGAGGCAGCAGUGUGGAAUAUUGGACAGUGGGCGCAAACCUGAUCCAGCCAUACCGCGUGGGUGAAGAAGGCCUUCGGGUUGGAAAGCCCUUUUGUUGGGAAAGAAAAGCAGCAGGUUAAUACCCCGCGGUUCUGACGGUACCCAAAGAAUAAGCACCGGCUAACUUCGUG